Molecule: long non-coding RNA, 33648 nt
Filed under: Lactuca sativa (garden lettuce)
Lineage: Eukaryota; Viridiplantae; Streptophyta; Magnoliopsida; Asterales; Asteraceae
Description: long non-coding RNA (LSAT_LNC002233)
Source: RNAcentral
GUUUGUGAGUGCAUUGGAGAGCAUUUGGAACCUUGAUAAGUGCUUGGUGAAGAGAUCUUUGAAGAUUAAGAGGCUUGGAGCAACGGGAUUUACAAGGUUUUGGCUUAUUCUUCUGUUGGAGUCUUCUAUUGAGGUAAUGAUUCGUUGCUUGAGCUGUUAUCCAUCUAGAUCUAUCAUUUGUGGGAUUUUUGGGAGUAUAUCUAGUGCUAUCUUGAGUUUGGAGGUUGGAUCUGAGGUUGUUACCUCAGAUCUAGAGUAGUGAUGAUCCAAAAGAGCAUAAAGUCCCUGUUCAAGAGUUGUUGAUCAAGCCUUUUUGUCCCAAACCCUAUCCCUAGAGUGUAUUAUGCUUAGAUCUCCUUGGAUUCACGUAAAGUUUGCCACUUUACAUGAUGGAUGGCUUGUAUAAGAGUAGAUCUAUGGAUUGGAGACCCUGCAUGGCUUGGUGAAAGGCUUAGAAUAAUGGUUUGGUCUAGGUGUUGCAGUUAGUGAUAGGGGUACGUUUAUAAUUAGCUUUUUGUCAGUUUAUGGUUGUAAGUGAGUUUACGGCCAUAAACACCUUACGGACGUAAACUCCUCACGGUCUUGGGUGUCUAUAUAUAUAGGGUUGUGUCAGACGUAAUGUUGGUUGAUGCCUUUAGUAUUUUGCGGUUCCACCAAGUUGUAUUAGACGUUUACGGUUAUAAAACGUAUGCAAGCUUGGUUUGUUACUUCUUUGUUUAUUAUUUCGCUUUGUGUGAUUGUUAUGUGCUUUUGAUCACUGGAAAGAUCCGAUUUUGGACCUUAUAAUUGGUAUCAGAGCGAGACCGGCGUCAAAGGUAGUCUACAGUCGCUAUUUGGUGCUAGUUCACGUGUUUCAGAAAAGGGGAUUUAUUGUUACAUUAAAAAAUCAACGAUUCUGUGUUCUCGGUCCGAGAUUACGGCCGUAAACACUGUGUUCACGGCCGUAAACCAGUCAACUUCAUCAACCAUGAAGACUAGAUUCUUGGGCCGUAAACUUUAUUUGGUGCAAGUCAAUUAAUCUUGAAGACCGUAAUUUAACCACAUUAAAUUAAUUGAAAGUAAAAUAAAUUAAUUCCUUGAAUCUCUGUUAAAGUUUCUGAAACAAAAAAUCACUAAGUUCACGGCCGCAAACUGAUAGUUUACGGCCACAAACUAUUUCUCAGCCGCAAACUCUUUUUCUGCAAUAAAUGAUUUCUGGCAGUGAACUCCUUUUCAGCAGUAAAUUAAAUUUCUCUUAGCAAUUAAUUUUAAUUCACUUUUAUAUCUUAAUUAACUUUAACUUAAAAAUGGAAUCACAAAAUCAAAACCAUUUUCAAGAGCUCGAUGCUGUCAUGGGCACCACCACGCGAAUUCCAAGGCUUAUGUCUGCUGAUGGGUUCCCUGAGUGGAAAUAUAGAAUUGAGAAAUACAUAAAGAUGAAAGACUUCAAGAUUUGGAAAUGUGUCAUAAAGGAUCCAAUCAGAAUCACCACUACAGUUGGGGGGCAGGUGGUUGACAAGAAAAUUGAGAACUACACUAAUGAAGACUUUGAGAGUGUAGAAGAAUAGGAAAAGGCAUUGGCCAUUUUGACUAUGGCCCUAUCUCCAGACAUUGCUCAAGGGUUCAGAGAGUAUACUUCUGCUAAAGCACUGUGGGAAGCCCUUAUUGAGGUAUAUGAGGGAAAUGAAGACAUGCGAGAGAGUCGCCAAGAUAUGUUGAGGCAACGAUUCAACAUGUUUAACUAUGUGCCUGGAGAGACUCUUGAGGCUCAACUGCAGCGGUUCACCACUCUUAAUACGGAAAUGACUGUGGCAGGGAUCGUCUAUACAAAGUUAGAAAUAAAUAAGAAGCUGCUAAAUGCCCUCCCAAAAUCUUGGGACAUGAAUGUAGCGGUCAUUAAGAAGACUAAGGAUCUUAAUCGCCUUUCUCUAGCUGAAGUGAUGGCUGUCAUCAAAGCAUGUGAUAUUGAUGACAAGUAGCGAGAGAUCAAUCAUGUGAACUCCUACUCAGCUGCCAAUCUUGGCAUUUCAACUAACAAUGCUCUUUCUUCUUUCUUCUAUUCUUCUGCAGGUUUAUCUCUAAAUGCUUCUCCUCAAGCUCAGAUACUCUCCCAUCCUUCAGCUUCCUCUGCAUCAGUCAUGCCCUACCCACAAAAUCAAUCAUUCGUGUCUGCUCAAACUGCUUCAUCUUCAAAUGUGGCUUCUUUUUCAAAAGGAAAAGAGGGUGAUGAAAACCUUGUUUUGAAGCAGGGCUAGUUAAUUUCUACAAUGCACUUGUAGCCGGGGAGCUUCCACCUCAAUUGUUAUUUGCAGAUCUUGAUCAAAUUCAUCCUGAGGACGUUGAGGAGAUGGAUAUCACGUGGCAAAUUGCCAUGGCAGUCUUUAGGGCAAAACAAUUUGCCAAAAAGACAGGGAAGAAUAACUGGGGAAUGAAUGUUGAUAAGAAAGUUGGAUUUGUGAAGGGAAAGCUUCGAUGCUUCAAUUGACAUGAGCCAGGGCACUUUGCUCGUGAUUGCCCACAUCCUGAUAGAAGAGUUAAUAAUGACCGAACAAUGGUUGUAGUUGGGAACAGCCGAAGCAGUGGUCAAGCAAACAAUGAGAAGGCUAUGGUUGCGCAAUCUUUCGAUUGGGAUGAUCAGAUACAUGCUCUCAACUUAUCUGGACCAGAAAAUGCUCAUCUGGCACAGGUAAGGGGUGAUGCUCCAACAGAGAUUGUAGCAGCUGAAGACAGUGUGAUGGAACUACAGUUUGCUUUGAUGGUAUCCUCUUCUCAUGAACCUAAUUCAUCCAGGGUAAGUCUUCCAUCAUGUUCUCAGGCUUGCAUUGAUUAUGUAAAAGCUUUACAUGACAAAAUCGAGACGUUAGGCAAUGAAGUAGAAAAUCUUAGAAUUUUUCGUGAACUUAAUGAAAAAUUAAUAAGAGACGUAGAAGACCUUAGAUAUGAAGGGUACCAACUUCGAAAAGGACAAAACCACUAAAAGCUCAAUUGGAAUCGAAAAUUAAGGACUUUAGGAGACUCCAGGAAGACUACAGUAACAAAUGUGAAAACUAUGAUUAUGUGGCCAAACAAAAUGCUGAGCUAGUGGCUGAAGUUGAAUCUUUGAAAGGAAAGUUUGAAACUGCCAAACUUGAUGUUAGAAAAUAUGACUUCUCAAGUGAGGUGGUUGCAAAUAUGAUAGACCAAAGCAUGCAGUUUAAAAGGAAUCAAUCAAAAGGUCUAGGGUAUAAUCAUGUACCCCCUCCUUUCAAUCAUUCUUAUGUGCCCAAGCCUUUGUCCAAAGAAGAGAUUGCCAAUGAAUCAUUUAUGGUUUAUGGCAAGCCCUCCGGUUUUAUUUUGGGAGGAUUUAUUAAUGUUGAAAGUACUAAAAUUUCUACUUCUCCUGCAGAUCAAUCCUUGAAUCAGUCAAAGCACGAAGUUGAAGGAUGUGUUUCUGAAAAUAAAAUCGAGUCUAAACCUGAAGCUUUAGUUUUUAAUAAAGACAAUACGUUUUCUGAUAUUUCUAAAGACAAUGUUUUUUGUGAUGGUGUUUUUAUGACUUCUGAUACUGGUUUGAAUGUUUUGAAAAAGUCUGGUUUGAACAUUGUGGUUGACAAUUUUAAUGUUUGUGAUAAAGAUGUUGAAACACCACUAGUCUCACAACCCUCCCCAUCCAACGCACCCUCACUUUCCUCACAACCUAAUAAUGUUGAUUGUUCUUUUGAGAAAAGCAAGGGUGCAGGUAGGGAAAACAAAUCUGAUCAGUGUAGUACAAGCUAUAACAAUAAUAAGCAGAUUUGUUUUAAUUGCGGUACUAGUGGUCAUAUUGCUAGAAAUUGUCAAAAUCGUAUGUUUGUGAGUUAUAACCUUCCAAGAGGAGAGAAUGAGUUCAGAGGAAGGUCUUUAAAUAGAAACUCCUCUAGAAGUCGUUCACGAAAUGAUGAUUGGGCAGAUGAAUGGAAUAGAAAACAGGCUACUUUUCAAAGACAUAAAAGGUUUUUUAAUCACCAUGUCCCAGGCUGUCUGCCAAAAACGAGCACAGCCAAGCCAAGGUCAAGCUCCUAACAAAGCCACAGUGGGUCUUCAACCAACUCUGGUAGAAGUCACACAGGCGUUAAGCAGACUGAUAAACACUCCAUGACUAAAUCAACUGGGACAUUUAGGAAACCUAAUUAUAAAUGGCUACCCAAACCUACUCUCAAUACAUCAUUUGUGUCCUCAGAAAAACCUAAAUAUGAUAAAUCUGGAAAGGCAUCAGGAUCACCCAGGAAGGUCAUGACCUGGGUGCCCAAAUCUAAUUAAACCCGCACAUUUUGCAGGGACAGUUGCGGGGAAAUGUCGUGAGACCCUGGUUCGUCGACAACGGCUGUUACCGACAUAUGACGGGAGAUAUCACCCAACUGCACAACAUUCAAUCAUUUAAUGGGGGAUAUGUCUCUUUUGGGGGUGGAGAUGGUGGUAAAAUCACUCAAAGAGGAACCGUCUCAAAUGGAGUUUUAAGUUUCGAAAAUGUCAAUUUUGCUCCGCUAGAUGACUAAAUCAAACAACAACGAGGCCUUUCAUCUGUUUAUUACACACCAACUAUCUACCCAUGUUCUACCCAACAUAUUAGUAGAUAAAAAUAUACAUUUUUAUACAUAGUUUAAAAACCUGUAUAGCAUGCUUAAAUCAACACAUAAUCCACAUAACAGAUGAGGCGCACACACACAUAACACAUAUCUCGUAGAGAAUAAAUCAUAUCUAUGAGAUAGAAGAGAGUGAAUACACAUUCACACACAUAAACAACAAUAUUAUACACAUAACACGUAUUUCGUAUAAAAUACUUCAUAAUUAUGCGUUAGAAGAAAGUAACUACACACUCACACUUAUAAACAACAAUAUACUUAAUACACUCGAACCAAACUUGUAUUAUUAUCGUGUUUAUGAAAGGUAGUAUACACUCACUUGAUCAGAAGAUGAUCGGACAGCACUACGACUUGCAGAAGUAGUAAUCCUCAGCAGAUCUGGAAGAUCUCUUCAAAAAUCGAACUUCUCGCGGGCAGAGCUUCGGCUCGGGAACCGCACUUCUCGGGAUCUUCGGGAUCUCGGGACUUGCUUCGGGGCUUGAGAACAAUACCGGGGCUUCGGGGUAUUUCUGGCACGCAAACCGAUGCAAAAUGGGAGAAAGAAGAGGAGAAAUUGGCAAAACUAUCGGCUGCCUUCGGAUUCCUUUUAUAGAGGCUGAGCCUCGCACGUACGCGGGGCGUACGCCAGUACGCGGGGCGUACUGGUCCGAAAAACGUCACUGCGUUCGUCAUCCGAAGCCACUUGCUGCGAUGUCGACACUUUCGGAGUACGCGGGGCGUACUCGAGUACGCGGCGCGUACCUCGGAUCAGACCGGUGACUCCUUCGGAUAAUGCUUCCGAAUUAAAGAUUAAAAAUAAAUACAAAUUAUUUAAUAAUCUUCGGAAAUUCAUAUCUUCUUCAUACGAACUCCGUUUUCGACGUUCUUUAUAUCCACGCGAAGGUGAGACUACGCUCUACAACUUUCGUUUAGACUCCGUCGGCUAAUUUUGACUUUAUUUUUAUUAAUUAUUUUUAAUAGGCCGCGACAUAAACUUUCGUUAUAAAUUCAUAACUUCUUCGUUUGACGUCCGUUCUCGCCUAACUUUUUAUCGCUUCGAUACCAACAAUGAGAUCUUCGAUUCUCAUUUAGAUUGCUUCGGCUAAAUACCGCUCUAACGUAAAUUCACUUUUUACGUUGCAUUGCGUCGUGCCGGUUCUGUCGCGAAACUUCGACGGGCCAUAACUUCUUCGUUAUAACUCGGAUUUUGGCGUUCUUUAUAUGCACGGAAACCUUGUGACAUAUACUACAACUUGGUUAAGAUUAAUCCUUCUAGAUAAUCUUCCAUCAAAAAGUCAUUUUUGACGCUUAUUGUUUCUAAAUUGACUAGCCCUGAUCUACGGGCGUUACAAUUAUCUCCCCCUUAGGAUGAUUACGUCCCGGAAUCAUCAACGAAAUAGGAUUCGCAUACUGACUCCAUAAGUUAUCUUUCCAUUCUAAGUAAUAACCUUGAUGCUCAAUCCUGCAUCUGCUCUUCGUACUAUCUUGGACUUUCAAUCAUAACCUUCGAGUUACAAAAUAAGUCCUUAUUGCGAACUCUUUCUUCUUCUUAGGAUAAAUAUAUUCCUUUAUCCAAUGUAACAAACCGAUGGGUCGUGCUCUAUCGACCUCUCAUCGCACGAUGCGACGCUUAGACUCGGUCUUUAAUAAAGUUAAAUUCCAGAAUGGAAUAUACCUUCCUUCAUAUUCUAAUGUGAUAUAAUCACAUUUCAGCAUGUAGCAUUUCUGCCUACAAACUUCUUUUAACAACGAGAGCGACACUAUCAAUCGCAUUAACUUCAACCUUCUGACUUAAGUCAGAUGUUACAUCUAACUCGGUCCUCUAGACCACGUACAUACUCCUCGCCGUCGAACUCAAAUUAAACAUGACCACUAGGGUCGGAACAAGAACCAUCUUACUAGUCAUCACCGAAACAAUGGUAAUGACAUACCAGAAUAAAAUGGAAUCAAUCACUAGUUUCUUGGUAACCUUGUGACUUUCCCUGAUCCAAGUGCGAGUCCUGUGCUUCCGGUAGUAUAUGCAUCUACUACCUUUCACACCUACUCAUACUUGUCCCAAGUAUUGUCCCGCAGUCGACCAAGUCACCAUACAAGAAAAUCACAUAAUCAAUCAACACAUCAGAUAGCAAAACUAGGGUUUAUAUUAUUUCCUUGAAACGGUUACACAAAAGUUCAAGUUCACCCUAUACUAUGCCUCUAAUAGGCUACACCACAUGUUACUUUUCAUAUCGCUACUUUAUAUCUUGAUCUUUGGAUAUAAAAUCCUCAUUCCUGAUUCCUUGCAUUGCCAUCUGCUUCAUCAAGGAUCAUGUGGAAUGCUUUUGGUUUUGGUGGUGCAUUUGGCCUUAUAGCCUCUUCUCUUCUUGGGCAGUUUUGCUUGAAGUGCCCUUCUUCGCCACACUUAAAGCAGACUUCUCUUUUGGUUGGGCAUUUGCUGGCGUAAUGACCAGUCUUCCCGCAUUUAAAGCAGGUCAUUUCUUUAGAGCAUUCACCAAUGUGCUUCCUUUUGCACUUGUCACACCAUUGUGCUCCUCCCUCGAGCUUCUUCGAAUCAUACUUCGAAAAUUUUCUCUUCUCAUCGGACCUUGAAGAUCCUUCCAUCUUUCUUUUCUCACCCACCUCGUUUCUCUCCAGACCCCUUUCCUUUAACUGGGUCUCCACAUUUUUAGCUGCUCGGACUGCUGUCUUCAAAGUAGUUGCCAUCUUGACCGUUGGGCCAAAGUCGGCAGGCAGUCCAUUUGCGAACCUCUCAAUUUUUGAGAGUUCAGAUGGCACUAAGUAUGGAAAUAACUUCAUCUUUUCGGUAAAUGUAGUAGCAUAAUCAUCAAUGCUCAAUUUACCUUUCUUCAUGUUCUGGAAUUCAUUGUUCAGAUCAAUCAGAUCUAUCUCUGAGCAGUACUGCAUCUUUAACUGCUCCAGGAAUGAUUCCCAAGACAUCUUCAGGGCUUCCCCUCGAGGCAUCAUAUCUGCCAGUAACUUCCACCAGCUCAAGACUCCGGUCUUUAGUUGUCUAACUGCAAAGACAGUCUUCUGUUUGUUGCUACAGUCGCAACUCUCAAACACCAUCUCCAUUUCGGAGAUCCAGUCCAUAAUCUCAACAGGCUUUGGGCUUCCAGAAAGACUUGGCGGUUUGGCGCCCAAGAAAUUUUUAUACAUACGCCCAUCCCUGUUUCUUUCCCUCUCUGGGUCAUUCCUUUCUACUACUGGGGGUUCUGCUCGUCCAACCGUCCCACUGUAGUUACCUCCCUCUGAAUGCCCUCCAUUCACUUCAGGCUCUUCCACUUGAAGUGACACUUCCUCACGAUUCUGUUGGAGUAAUCGCCUUGUCUCCUCCAUUUGGCGAUCCAACAUCAUCUGUAUCAUCGCUUGCACCCCAGCCAUUGUCAUCGGCUCUGGUGCUGCUGCUACAACAGGUGCUUGCUCAACCACAGGUGGUUGAUUCCUGUUUUCAUCAGCAUUUCCAACCCCACUUCUUGUUCUCACCAUUUUUGAUCUACACACCCAAUAAGGUGAAAUUAGAUCCUUAUUCACGAUAGAUAUUCAAAUCAUCCUUAUCACUCCGAAACGUUUACAUGCUAGUUCUAAUAUCGUAGACGUACGCUUAGAAUCCUAAACACAUAAGGUUUCCAGAUCUGGUCGGCAAUAGACCAUAGAUCCGAACAAAUAAUAGCAUCAAUAUAGCUAUCACACAAAACAUUUAGCACAUAAAAGCAUUUUAGGCAUCAUUCCUAAAAUGAACUAGUGCUUGUGUCAAUUUAGGUGUACUACCUAACAUAUUUUAGACACACUCCUCACAAUCAUUACUUAGCAUUCUAAGUUUAAGUCUAGAAAUUUCCUACAAAUUCCUAGUUCGCUUAAACUAAUGCUCUGAUACCAACUGUGACAUCCCCAUUUUUCACGGCCAGAAAAGACCGAUUUGUUUAUGCUUUGUUUUAUAAAUCAGAGUAAUCGUUUAAAGAAAACGGUUGCGGAAUUUGUUCCCAAAACAAAAUAUGAUAAUAACUUAUCAAAACAUUUCUCAAAGAGAAUUUAUUUUCAUUUAAUAAUAAAACCUCGGGAUGUCAUGUUCCGAUACAGACAUAUAAGCAUAAACAGAACUUACAUUUAAUUACACAAUUGAUUUAUAUCUCCUUUAAAUCUCUCUGUGAAAUAUGUCUUCGUACUAAUACCUGUGAUACAAAGAAAACUGAGUGGGUCAGGCUUGGGAGCCUGGUGAGCAUAUAGGGUUUUCAUCCCACAAUGUUAUAUCAUAUAUUUAUAAAUAUAGAACAUUCAAACCUGCACAAUUUCACCAUAUAAAGACAACUCUUAACCCACCCCAUUGAUCCUCACAAUGACACGAUCUAAACUCUCGCAUCUAAUAUUUUUCCUCUUUACCUGAUCCCUACUCAUGGAUCUAAAACUACCCGAUCCAUACCCACGGAUCUAAAACUACCUGAUCCAUACUCACGGAUCUAAAACUACCUCCUGAUCUGAUCCAUACUCCCGGAUCAAUAAUUGUACCCAAUCCAUACUCCCGGAAUAGGGACAAUUAACUAUACCUUAAUCCUGAUCUGAUCCAUACUCCCGGAUCUAUAACUGUGCCCAAUCCAUACUCCCGGACUAGGGACAAUUAUCUUAAUCUUAAUCCAUAUCUGAUCCAUACUCCCGGAUCUAUAACUGUGCCCAAUCCAUACUCCCGGACUAGGGACAAUUAACUUAGUCUUAAUCCAUACUCCCGGACUAAUAGCAAGUUUAUCUCUUUACCUGAUCCAUACUCACGGAUCUAAAACUAACCUCUAAAUCUGAUCCCUACUCACGGAUCUAAACUGACCUCUUGAUUUGAUCCCUACUCACGGAUCUAAACUAACCUCUUGAUCUAAUCCAUACUCGCUGAAUAACUAGAUCAACAACAACAACAUCGGGGCCUCUCAUCUGUUUAUCACACAUCAACUGUCUCCCCAUGUUCUACCCAACAUAUUAGUAGAUAAAAAUAUAUAUUUUUAUCCAUAGUUUGAAACCUGUAUAACAUUCUCAUUCAAUACCUAUUCCACAUAACAGAUGAGGCACACCCACAUAACACGUAUUUCAUAGAGAAUAAAUCAGAUCUAUGAGAUAGAAGAAAGUGAAUAUACAUUCACACACAUAACAACAAUAUUAUACACAUAACACGUAUUUCGUAUAAAAUACUUCAUAAUUAUGCGUUAGAAGAAAGUAACUACACACUCACACUUAUAAACAACAAUAUACUUAAUACACUCGAACCAAACUUGUAUUAUUAUCGUGUUUAUGAAAGGUAGUAUACACUCACUUGAUCAGAAGAUGAUCGGACAGCACUACGACUUGCAGAAGUAGUAAUCCUCAGCAGAUCUGAAAGAUCUUCACAAAAAUCGAACUUCUCGCGGGCAGAGCUUCGGCUCGGGAACCGCACUUCUCGGGAUCUUCGGGAUCUCGGGACUUGCCUUGGGGCUUGAGUAUGAUACCUGGGCUUCGGGAUAUUUCUGUCACGCAAAACGGUUCAAAACGGGAGAGAGAAGAGAGAAAAUGAACAAAAGACUCGGCUGCCUUCGGAUCCUAUUUAUAGGAGGCUGGAGCCUCGGAGUACGCGGGGCGUACUGCUUCCGAAAUCGUCAUUGCAUGCGUCAUCCGAGCCACUUGCUGCGAGUAUCGACACCUUCGGAGUACGCGGGGCGUACCUCGGAUCAGACCGGUGACUCCUUCGGAUAAUGCUUCCGAAUUUUCAAUUAAAUUUAAUUACAAAAUAUUUAAUAAUCUUCGGAAAUUCAUAUCUUCUUCAUACGAACUCCGUUUUCGACAUUCUAUAUAUCCACGCGAAGGUGAGACUACGCUCUACAACUUUCGUUUAGACUCCGUCGGCUAAUUUUAACUUUAUUUUUAUUAUUUAUUUUUAAUAGACCGUGACAGAAAAACUUCAUUAUAAAUUCAUAACUUCUUUGUUUGACGUCCGUUCUCGCCUAACUUUUUAUCGCUUCGAUACCAACAACGAGACCUUCGAUCCUCGUUUAGAUUGUUUCGGCUAAAAACCGCUCGAUCUCAAAUCGAGUAUUUCGGGCUGCACAUCGCUAAGCCGAAACUUCGAUAAAUCAUAACUUCCUCAUACGAAGUCAGAUUUGGGCGUUCUAUAUAUAUUUGGAAACCUCGUUUCAACUACUACAACAUUAACCAAAGAUAUUAAGUUUAUUUUACACUUUAAUUUUGACGCUUAUUUUUAUUCUUAAUUAAUCAAACCACAUAAUUAAGAAAUUAAGCACAAAACACAUAAUACUCAAAUAACAAUCUUAUUAUUUCAAAACGGGUUACAGAGGUUAACCUAGACUAUUACAUUGCUAAAAAUGGCAAGCCCGGAAACACCGGCGUUACACUGCCCAUCAAGGACUUCAUUACGUUUGAGAAAUGUGCGUCGUUUGCUCAAGGAAAGCAUCAUAGAAUGCCGCACCUGCCAAAACAUGUCAAUUCAAUUAGCCAGGUUCUUCAAUUACUUCAUAUGGAUUUGUUUGGUCCAGUUAAUGUUCUAAGCAUAAACAGAAGCUCUUACUGUCUGGUUGUGAUUGAUGACUUCUCUCGAUUUACGUGGAUCUUCUUUCUAUCCAACAAAGCUGGCGUUUCUGAAUUGAUCAAGAAGUUCAUAGUAUUAGUUGAGAACCAGACCAACAAUCGGGUGAAGGCGCUUCGUACCGAUAACGGAACAGAGUUUAAGAAUUCUGUUCUUGAUUAUUUCUGCGCGGAAAAGGGUAUUUUGCGUCAAUUUAGUUCAGCUCAUACACCUCAGCAAAAUGGUGUUGCUGAAAGACGGAACAUAACGCUAAAAGACGCUGCAAGAACAAUGUUGUGUGAUUCAAAGCUGCCAGUUUUCUUCUGGGCUGAGGCGAUAAACACAGCCUGUUAUGUUCAGAAUCGAGUACUUAUCAACAAAGCUCAGAUGAAAACUCCGUAUGAAAUUUACUAUGGACACAAGCCAUCAGUCAGUCAUUUCCGUGUAUUUGGCUGUCCUUGCACCCUCCUUCACUUAGAUGCCAACCCGAAGUUUAAUGCCAAGGCCGAUGACUGCUAUUUUGUAGGGUAUGCUGCUUGCACUGCCUAUAGAGUCUAUAAUAAGAAAACCAAACAGAUUGUAGAAUCCUAUGACGUUCGUUGGUUGGAAGAAAAUGAGACAGACGCUAGAGUGGGUCCGGAUUGGUUGAUUGAUUACACGUCACUUUUCAAAUCAUUGAAUGUGUCCUCAAGUAAUUUAUAUAGAUCUGAUUCGAAUUGGAAGAGUAUUUCUGAAGAGGAAGAAGAAGAAGUUGUGUACAAGCCGCUAUCCACAUCCUCUACUUCAUCGAAGGGGAAGUCUAAAAUUUCACUUGAAGGGGAGUCCUCUGGCUCACAGAAUGGAGGAUCCCAAGCUAUGUCUGAGGGGGAGCCCUCCGCUGCACCAGAAGGGGAGUCUUCUGCAACAUCUUCGGGAGAGUCCUAUGCCACACCUCAAAGGGGGUCGACUUUUCUUUUCGAUAGUCCUCAAUACUCAGUCCAAUCUGAUUCUCCUGAGGCUGAUACUACACCACAUAUGUCAAUGGAGAAAGAGUUUAUUCCUAAUCAUGCUUCGCUGUCUCUACAACUUUUAUGGAAUUACUCUUUCCUGAUCUUAUCGCAGAUGAGUUUGUUGCAUAACCAUCUAGCAUUGCUCAACCAGCAAAUGAAGGAGGUAUCAAUAUUCACAUUCUUCCUGUCUCUCUAAAUGAUAUCAACCAAGAAAUACCUUUAAGGGUUCAACGCGAUCAUCCGAUCGAAAAUGUCAUUGGUUAGCUAGGUGACGGUGUUAAAACCAGAAGUCAGAGUGGAGAUGUGAAUACAUGUCUGUACUCUUGCUUUAUUUCUCAAAUCGAGCCCAAGAAUGUAGAAAUGGCUCUAAAUGAACCUACCUGGGUGGAUGCAAUGCAUGAGGAAUUGCACCAAUUUGAAAAACUCGGUGUUUGGAAGUUAGUUGAAUUACCGAAGGGCAAGAAGUCUCUUGACACCCGAUGGGUUUAUCGCAACAAGCAGGAUGAUUCAGGGGUCAUUGUGCAAAACAAAGCUCGAUUGGUAGUUCGUGGGUUUCGACAAGUCGAGGGUCUUGAUUACACUGAAGUUUAUGCUCCGGUAGCUCGCUUGGAGGCUAUCCGUAUCUUCCUAGCGUAUGCCUCUUACAUGAACUUUACUGUUUAUCAAAUGGACGUCAAGACCGUCUUUUUGUAUGGCAAGGUGAAGGAAGAAAUCUACGUUUAUCAACUCCCUGGGUUUGUUGACUCGAAGUAUCCUAAUCAUGUCUACAAAUUGGACAAGGCAUUAUAUGGGUUACAUCAAGCUCCUAGAGCGUGGUAUGCGACACUAACAAAGCACUUGCUCGAACACGGUUAUUCUCGUGGCACUAUCGAUCAAACUUUGCUCAUAAAACACGUCGACAAAGACCAGAUACUUGUACAAAUAUUUGUCGACGAUAUUAUCUUUGGAUCAACCAGUCAGCAACUUUGCAAGGAGUUCGAGGGUGUAAUGAAGAAACGAUUCGAAAUGAGUUCGUUGGGGGAAAUAACCAUGUUUUUGGGGCUUCAAGUUAAACCGAAUUCAACCGGGAUCCUGCUACAUCAAGCCAAGUAUGUGGAAGAUAUUCUUGAGAAGUUCGAGUUUCACGAUGCUAAACCUGCGUCAACACCGAUGGCUGAACGACCUCUUUUGACUCCAGAUCCUGAAGGCGAAUCCAUAGAUCAAGCUCAUUAUCGAUCAAUGAUCGGAUCGCUAAUGUAUCUUACUGCAAGUCGACCUGACAUAAUGUUUGCGGUUUGUCAAUGCUAUCAGGCUAACCCUAAACUCUCUCAUCUUAUUGCUGUCAAAAGAAUUUUCCGGUAUAUCAAAGGAAGCCCUAAAUUGGGUCUUUGGUAUCCGAAGAAUUCUGAAUUUGAUCUUUAUGCUUUUACUGACAGUAAUUAUGGAGGCUAUGAGCUUGACAGGAAAUCAACCUUAGGAGGAUGUCAGUACUUAGGUGACCGGCUAGUUUCGUGGCAAUGCAAGAAGCCACACACUGUAUCGAUUUCCACAACAGAGGCGGAAUACGUUGCUGCCUCAGCUUGCUGCUCUCAAGUUAUCUGGAUCCAACAUCAGCUGUUGGACUAUGGUUUGAAUUAUUUUGAAACCCUCAUCUAUUGUGAUAAUGAAGUGGCAAUUCAAAUUGCUAAAAACCCAGUCCAACACUCUAAAACCAAGCACAACGACAUUAAAAUUCACUUUAUCAGAGACUGUUUUGAACGAUCAUUAAUCCGGCUAGAACAGGUCCACACUGAUAAAAUGUGCGGACUUGUUCACAAAGCCAUUUAACAAAGCUCGCUUCGAUGUGCUUGUCGGAUUUCUAAAAAUGAUACGUUUUGAGGAUUAAGUUUUUUUUUUAAUUUUUAUUUUUCUUUUCUCAAAAUUUGUUUCCAAUUUUUUAAUUUCGUUAAGAACUUUAUUCUAUUUUAUUUUCUUUUGGUUUCCUGUUUUUUAGGCUAGAUAAAAUUUUUGUUCUUUUAUGUUCGAUUAAAUUUGCGCAUCGUUUUUCAUUUUACUCUUAUUCUCAUCCAUGCACAAAUUUAGGGGGAGAAAUAUAAAAAUCCAAAAAUUCAAAAACAAUAAAAAUUCAAAAAUUCAAAAACAAUUUCGCUUGUGGGUAUUAUGAUGGGAAAUGAAAUUAACAAGUGAUAACGGGCAAUCUGAAUCGGUGUAACGUACCUAAGUUGAAUCGUCUACGCUGUGUGCUUGAUGUGCUAGUAGGCACAAAAGAUUUUAAAUGGACUUGACUAGGAAAAGUUGAACCUAAUGAAUUUUAAGAACUUGACAAACCUUGACCUAGUUAGAUCCGUUUAACCUGAUGUCACGACGCUUGGNNNGAUAGGUUGAGCAGGGAGAUAUAUAUGGGAAUCUACUCGUCACAUUAAUUGAACCCGUACUUGGAACCGUGGUUUAACUUUUCCUCGAUGUGCGGAUUUUGUCCUUAAUUCCGGUUGGAUGGGGUGACUGGUAAAUUCCAAUAAAUUAGGUCUGUAGAAUAUCAUUUUCUUUCUUUCCGUCUGUUAGUCAUAUGUUGUCUCCUUUGCGUGACUUCUAAUCCGACCUGGUACACAACAUAUGCAACUCUAUUUCUCUGCAGGCUAUAUAUGUGAAAUACUUCUUAUCUGUUAGCCAUAUGCUGUCUCCUUUGCGUGACUUCUAAUCCGACCUGGUACACAGCAUAUGCAACCUUCUUCUUCUCACCCCCUCUGAAGUAGUAAGUAAUAGAAUUUUGAAUUUAUCCUCUCUCUAAAUGGUUGUCUUCUCACCCGGUGUAAGGAGCACUACUAGAAAAAUAGCCUUUUACAACGCUCAUUGCGCGUCGUAAAACGCUCAGACGACGCGCGAAUGCGCGUCAAGGAAGGCCCUGUCAUAAAGAGAGACGACGCGCUUUUGCGCGUCAUCUGAAGACGACGCGCAUUUACGACGUGCAUUUACGACGUGCGUUUAUGACACGCAAUGCGUAUCAAGGAAGGCCCUGUCAUAAAGGAAGACAACACACAUUUGUGUGUCGUAACAUUAUAACGCGCGUGUUUAUGACACGUAAUGCGUAUCAUGGAAGCCCUUGUCAUAAAUGAAGAUGACAUGCAUUUGCGUGUCAUAAACUUCAGUAACCAUUUUCGAUAUGCAUUUACGACGCGUCUUUAUGAUACUCAUUUCCGCAUAAUACAAAAAUAUGUAAACAAAUAUAUACAAAAACAAUCAAUUUCAUCUAAUAACAUCAUGUCAAAAAAUUGUAAUACAUUGAUAUUAUUGGGAUCUAACAGUACAUUGUUAUUAAGAGGUUUUUCCUAACUAUCUAACCUAAUACUCCUACAUUGCUAAUACUCCAUAUCAUUGGUUUGCCACCUGGUGUACUGGGCUGCUGUCCACCGGGCAUGGAUGACAUGUAAUGACUUGAGCAUUAGCUAAAACAAAAAAGCUUUUAUUAAUCAUACAAUCAAGUUUAGCUACAUGAUAGAGUUGUUAUAUAGAUAUUUUGUUAAUCACACAAUCAAGUUUAGCUACCUGAUAUAACAAGUUGACACUAUCUCCUCCUCCAAACCUCUUACAAGUACACCUCCCUUUCCAUCAUCCAUGAGUGCUGGAGAGGAAGUGUCUUUGUUGGAGCUUCCCAUCAAGCAAGUUAUAUAAAGCACUAAUAAAUCUGUAAAUAUUUUGUUUAAUUAAGAUUUUAAUUUAAGUGAAAAUAAAGAAUUCUAAAAAAAAUGACCUUAACUAGAGAGGAAGUGUCUUUUUUGGAGCUUCUCCACUUUGUUUCAAUAGAUGUUGAAUUGAAUUUUGCUGAUGAAAGCCUUUCAUAUAAAACCUGAAAAAAAUUAAAAUUAAAAAAAAGAAAAAGAAAAUAUUGAGUAUUGAAUAUUCUUACUUGCUGAAGCCUAAAGAGGUCAUAAAAGUUAUCAUUCCCAUAAAAGGCAUGCAAAUAUUUUAUUUCACCAUUAUCACAUAAAGGAGCUGCAACACGUUUUGCCAAUCGCUUGGCAGUUGACAAAAACUACUCAGACAGGGGCAAAAUCGUCAAAUCACCAUCACCAUGAAAAUAUUAAAUAUUGGAUUGGGAUUGGGAUUUAACUAUUUGAUUACAAAAAAGGCAUUGGAAUUUGAAACUAAACAUACUUGUAGACAUCAAGCAUGUCCAAAAAGAUGACCCAUUAAGUCAUUUUGUCCACAUUAAGUCAAAAAGGAACAACCAUGCCAUGUAUAGUUUGUUCAGAUUAAGUGAUUAAUUCAUUAAGACCACUAAGUCAAAAAGAAUCAACCCCUAAGUCAUUAUUAUAGGUUGUUGUUGUAGCUGUACUUUGUGUUCAAACUAAACCGGGUUACAGGCCAUAUACAAACAUUUGUGUCACGCAAGAGUGUUAUUUGUGCAUAAACUUCAUUUGUUUCUGGUUCAGCCUAAAAAAAUGAAUCCAGAACUAAAUUACUUAAAUAACCAAAUGGAUUAUGAGUAUUAGUCUCUGAAAGAGACUAAACUACCCUCACUAACUUACUCAAAGGAAUCAAAGUAGUAGACCAAUUUUUCAUCCAAUCCAGCAAGGAUAGAAACAAAGAUCAAGUAAAAUCAGAAUGAGAAAAAAAUCAUUUUGUAUAAUUGUUACAUGUAUAUGCCUGAAUAUACCAUAUUACACUUGCCUGCCAAAUUAUAUAUUAAAAUAAAUAAACAGAUUUUUUUUCUAAAGUCCAAAGUUAUAUGUCUGAAGAAACAUUGUAUUUUCCCUUCUUAAUCUUUAAAAUAUCAUAUUUACUUAUAUAUAUAUAUAUAUAUAUAUAUAUNNNNNNNNNNNNNNNNNNNNNNNNNNNNNNNNNNNNNNNNNNNNNNNNNNNNNNNNNNNNNNNNNNNNNNNNNNNNNNNNNNNNNNNNNNNNNNNNNNNNNNNNNNNNNNNNNNNNNNNNNNNNNNNNNNNNNNNNNNNNNNNNNNNNNNNNNNNNNNNNNNNNNNNNNNNNNNNNNNNNNNNNNNNNNNNNNNNNNNNNNNNNNNNNNNNNNNNNNNNNNNNNNNNNNNNNNNNNNNNNNNNNNNNNNNNNNNNNNNNNNNNNNNNNNNNNNNNNNNNNNNNNNNNNNNNNNNNNNNNNNUUUAAUUAGUCUCUUUUGAUCACAUAAUUAAUUCCAAACUAAUUCUUGAUCAAUACUAAUUAAAUAAUAUGAUUUCAUAUUAAUAUAUUAGAACUUAUAAUAUAUUAAUAAAUCAUAAAUAUCCUCUUCUCACAAAAUUCUAUCCAAAUUGUUCUGAUGUCAUGCAACCCAAAUGGACCAUGCUACUCAAGUACAUACCAAUAAUAGUUAUGGGCUUAAAUACCUAAUCCAACAAUCUCCCACUUGGAUAAGUCUAAUAACUAUUAUUGCAAGCACAACUCCAACCCAACUAGCAAUCGUAGCUCUUAAAAGCCGAUGUCGAACUCUGACCUAGUCAAUGACGUGUCCAUUGGAUAAGGAAUCAUAUAUUCCUCCAUUCUAGAUAUCAUAUGGACUGAGAAAUGGAUUAUAAUCAUUCUCUUUGUCCAUCUGUUGUUUCCCGAUUUCUGAUUUAUGAUGACCGACUAAUUGAACAAAUCAAAUCAGUCCAGGCCUGGUGUCAUUACUAAAUCAUCGAGGGGCCCAAAAAUAUCGCUUUUAUCCACAUGGGGUAAAAGGAACAGAUAAAAUUCGACCCAGAUGCUUGCUUGUACUCACUCAUCAAAUUACACAGAACGAUAUGUUUUAUAACAUCCAAGUUACUGGUGCGUUUACAUAUGUCAAUGUGCAACCAACUCGCAACUACAACUCGCACGUCUCCGUUUGAAGAAUAUAAGAUAUUAUUAUCUCAUGAUCACUCGUGAUAAAAUCCAUGAAGUGAUUCAAAUGAGCAUGGGUUGACUCCAAUACUCGAAUCUUAUUCCAGGAGUACUCAUGAACACUGCAGCCUCUUUGUCCUAGAAAAACUACAUACCCAUUCAUGACAGUCUUUCCUCAAUACCUACUUCCAAAGUAUGAUCGACUGUAGAUAGUUUGAAUAACCUAGCUAUUCGGGAAGUCAAAACAUGCCAAGUGAAACACAAGAAUAAUACUAAUCCUAUAUGGCCCAAAAACUUUUGAGUCAUAUUGAUUACUCAUUAUUCAUUGUAUAAUGUUUUGAGUAAUCAACUUAAUACUUGAAUUAAAACAGUAGUUGUCCCAUGCUCAAAGCAUGCACACUAUGUUUUCUAAACGAUAGCGAUGCCAUGCACCAAGCAUGCACACUAUUUUUGUUUAUGGUCCUUAAUUUGUGAAAUAGAUCAAUUGAAAAACAUGUCAAUGAUGCUCAUUUCAAAAUUCCAAAUCCUUAUUGUAAGUGUAAGAAUUCCAAAUUCUUGUCACUACUAGAAAGUGUUAGAUUCUAAACUAUCAUGCAAUGAUUCUUUUGUAAUGUCUAGGUACCAAAAGACAUAAAGAAUUGACCAAUGAUAUUACAAAAUAUUCCUUUGGACAUUGUUACAAGACAAUUCCAUGGAAAUGAAGUCUCAAAUUCAAAGUACACUCCUUUAAACAUCCUUCUUGCAUAAAAGUUUCUCACUUUCUCAUAUAUUCUUCAACUCCCAAUAUGGAAACAUUCCAUAUUUUCCAUACGAUAAUUCAUUAUUAAUAGAAUUCUGUCUAUUCAUAAUAAUGUCAAUAUGGUCCAUCCAUUACUAUACUUCCAACUGUCCUUAAGUGACCAAUCAUUGGCGAACGUUAGAUUGUCCUUAACAGUUGCUCAACCACUUUAGUCAUAAUCGGUUCUAGUCCUUUUUCUCUCUUAAUUCCCUAGGCAUUUGGAAAAAUUUAGAACAUGAGAAUAUUAUAGCAUAUGCAAUCGAUCCUAUACCCGAAGUAUAUGGGAUGCGAUUCAUAAUGUCUAACAUAAAGACAUGAUACUUGAUCAACUUUCUACUAUAAUAUUUCUGUUUUCCAUGUUCUCAUAAUUUAGAUUAUGAAGAGGGAUUCCAUAAUCAUAACCAAAUUUUGAGAACACAAUUAACAUUUCCAUAUAUAGAAUUUCCUUAUGUUGAACCAUUCCAACAUAACAUUCACACACACACACACACACACACAUAUAUAUAUAUAUAUAUAUAUAUAUAUAUAUAUAUUCGAUACCAAACAAUUCUCUCUUAACAACUCUUGGUAGAACAUAUUGACCCAUCCGGUUAAACUCUAAAAGAGUUUCUGACUGAUUAAAUGAAAGAGCAGGAAACAGGGAAAUAUACGAUGACCCGUAAUUUCACAUAAUGGUGUUCUGUAAAAACCCAUACAAAAAACAUUACUUUUCCUAAUUCCCAGGAUAACCAUCUGAACUCAGUCUCUAUAAGGCUCGUGAUAUAGUGAAUUCAAUUAUUUUUAAAAUACAUCAUAUUUACAAACGAUUUCCUUAGUUUUCAAGUCUCGACAGGAAACAUUGUGGAGGAUUUAUAAGCAUGAACGUUUUCCUCUACGUGAGCCUACAUCCUUACAGAUUUUUUUACCAAUCAAGAAAUGAAAGAAAACUCAAACCACAACUUCGUAAGUUCCAUAUAUGAUCAAUUCACACAAAAAGCAUACACUGCGGCUUUUGCACGACUUAUUCAACUUGAUAGCAACCACAACUAAAGUUGAAAAAGACAAGUACACAAUUAAAAGAGAAUAUAUCGUACAUAUAAGGAAAGAAACUCAUGGUCACGAGUAAUUUGUUUGAAGUUUUAUUGUUCGUUGCCUCCUUGAGACGACGUAUCGGAAUCUGAGAUGGACAUAUUUCAUUCAAGAACCUAAUUACUAAAAAAAUCAGUGCGUGAAUCGAUUGAAGAAAAACCUCAAAGUUCAACAAGAAACACAGAUCACAGCAAUCAAUUCUUUGGUGGUUUGAAGAUGGGUGGGGGAGAGAGAGAGAGAGAGAGAGAGAGAGAAAGAGAUUGGUGCUUACAUUCUGCAGCAUCCAAGAAAAAGAAGACAUGAUUCCAAAGGUCUAGGAAAUAUAUAAUAAAAAACAUAUAAAUAUUGAUACACUUGUGCCACUCCCACUAGAUAUUUCACAAAGAAGGGCAUAUCUAUCACGUAUGGUACCACCUGAAUUUGCCAAAGCAUCAACUUUUGAUUGCUUAUUUAUUUCAGACCUUUCUCAUUGUUGUCUGAUUAAUGUUCCUUUGAAAUCUUGUGGCAUGUAGCUUAUUACUGCAUCCACAUCAUUCAAAUCAUCAAUGUCUUCUGGUGUAGACUAUUUUUGAAGCUGCCAACAACAACAAAAACACAAAAACUAAAAGGUGAGAUGGGAUUUACAAAUAAAUAAAUAAAAGAAUUAGUAUCUCACAGAUUUUGGCCAAUGAGAGCUCAGAAGAAAGAAAAGAAAAGAAAUAAAAAGACUAUUGUUUUAUGAAUUAAGAUAAGAAUCUUACUUCACACAUUUGAUGGUGUUCUGUGCUUUGUCUUCCAAUUUGUCUUGGCAUCAUAACAUGAAUUACAAGUUUUAAGAGUAUUACCACACCCAAACCCAUUCCACCUAAUGAAACAUAAAUUAUAUUAUAUAUUUCUAUAUACAAACUGCACAAAGUAGAAAACAAUCUCCUUGGGACAAAUUCAAAUUUCAAUUGGCUCAGCCUAAUUUUUAAUCUUGAUUGCUAACCGACAUUCCAUAUACAACCGGAUGUUGCCUUAAGCUGGAGUCGAUUACUUGGUGAGUUAAGCCGACCCCUUGGUUGAGGCUCACUCGUUGCUUCUUCAUAACAAGUGAACCACGGUAAGAGUCUGGGUUUAAGGGCUCAUGUUCAUCGGUGGCAGGGGCUGGGGCUGGGNUAGCUUGAAGAUGAGGAGGAACUCGACGAGUGGGAUGAACAGCUCUUCGAGUCGGAAGAACAACUCGACGAGUUGGUUGAUGAUUGCCUUGGGCUCGGAGAGUCUAUUCUUGGACUCGGCGAGUCAGGUCGCGAAACCCCAAACCCUUCGAGUUGAAACUCGAAUCAGCGAGUCGGGUGGAGACUCAGCGAGUUGGACAGGUCAGGACUCGGGAAUAGCUGACUCGGNGUCGAGUCGCGAAUAGAAAGAUCCUGAGCAUAUGAACUCGACGAGUUAUUAGGUGGACUCAGCGAGUAGGGUUGACCUGGAAGGUUGACUUUGACCAGGAUUUUGACCUUGAACAGAGAUGACCUAGUUGACCUUUGGAGGUCAGUUGGACUAAGUGUUAUAUUGGCAUUGGUAGCUCGAGGAGCUAGUGGAGCAGCAGUUCGGAGUCAGAGGUCAGGAAGCAAUCAAAAGGAUUAGUAGCAUUAGUUCAGCAGUCUCAGGUGAGUUUCCUUCCAGUAGGAACGGGUCUAAGGCCACAAUGCCGGCCCGUUUAGCUAGUAGUAGUUUCCAGAUUUGAUCCGAUGCAGUAGUUAGCAUGUUUGAUGCCUUCGUGGCUCAGACAAGAUUUAUGUGUUAUGUGAUCCGGGCUACGACCCGAUGUAGUAUAUAUGUGUGUUCAUGCUAGUGUAUAUGUUUAUGCUAUGUUCAGUUAGCUUCGGACUUCGGUACGAUGUAGGGGACGGGGGUCCCAGUCAGCUUCGGACUUCGGUCCGAUGUAGGGGAUGGGGGUCCCAGUCAGCUUCAGACUUCCGUCCGAUGUAGGGGACGGCGGUCCCAGUCAGUUUCGGACUUCGGUCCGAUGCAGGGGACAAGGUCCUAGUUAGUCCGGACUUCGGUCCGAUGCAGGGGGCAAGGCCCCAGUUAGCCCGGACUUCGGUCCGAUGCAGUGGGCAAGGCCCAGUAUGUGCUUUAUAUGUUAUUGUAUGGUAUGUGGUAGAUUGGGGGAGCUCACUAAGCUUCGUGCUUACGGUUUUCAGUUUUGGUUUCAGGUACUCGGUUUUCAAGAGAGGAGCUCGGGAAGAUUGCAGUGCACACACCAUAUUCAGUUAGCCUGGGAACGUUUGACUCUGAUAAUGAUAUUAUGUUCUGAAUUAAUACUUGAGAAAUUAUGUUAUGACUUAUGAUACAGUUUUUCUAAAUAUGAUUUUAGUAAUGUUUUUAAAGAAAUUUUUAGUUGUGAUUUUUGGGUCGUUACAAGAUGGUAGGGAGGCAGUGGAUAGUAGGAAUGGUGGUGACGGUCGAUUGCAUAGAGGUGAGUGUGAGGUGAGGUGGAAUGAGAUUUUAUGAAAAAAGCCCUAGAUUUGGACGCCUUUUGUAAUUGAGGAUAAUGGAUGCGCAUUUGGUAAAAGAAUUAUAGAACGACGCAUCUGCAAUCGAGAAGGUGGAGGAUACAGAUGAGAGAAAACCUGGUGGAGAAGGAGAGACGAGAAGGUGGAGGUGUCGAUUAGGGGUUGUUCAACUGGUAGCUUCGAUUGAGACGAGGGAGAAGAAGGCGGGGGUUGAAAAAAUUUGGGGAUUUCAUUUUCCCUCUAAGGAGCGCGUUUCUUAAAAAAAAAUAUAUAAAACAACAGUCACAGAGGACGCACAAGUGCCCUCCGUGUUUUUAAUUUUUUUACAUGAGACACUAAUUUAAGGGCACGCAAUAGUGCGCGACCUAUAUCCUUAGAUUUUUUAAAGAGAUGACACUUUUUUAAUGUCACUCUCGUUUGCGUAACAUAAAUUAAUGAGUGUCGUGGUUUGCGCGUCGUAAAAGGGUCUUUUUCUUGUAGUGCANNNNNNNNNNNNNNNNNNNNNNNNNNNNNNNNNNNNNNNNNNNNNNNNNNNNNNNNNNNNNNNNNNNNNNNNNNNNNNNNNNNNNNNNNNNNNNNNNNNNNNNNNNNNNNNNNNNNNNNNNNNNNNNNNNNNNNNNNNNNNNNNNNNNNNNNNNNNNNNNNNNNNNNNNNNNNNNNNNNNNNNNNNNNNNNNNNNNNNNNNNNNNNNNNNNNNNNNNNNNNNNNNNNNNNNNNNNNNNNNNNNNNNNNNNNNNNNNNNNNNNNNNNNNNNNNNNNNNNNNNNNNNNNNNNNNNNNNNNNNNNNNNNNNNNNNNNNNAUGUGAAGAUAAGGGUACCGACAAGUGGAAUAAGGUUGUCCAACAACUUUGAUCCCAGCAUCACAAAAGGAGUUAUAAUGGUUAAAGUUUUGUUUUGUCAAAUUAUUUUAAUUUGAAUUUUAUUUUUUCUUUUAAAAUUUAAUUUAAUUUUAUAUUUAUUUUAUUUUUAAAUUUUAAUUUUAAUUUUUUUAAUUUUUAGUUUUAUUUUUACUUUCAUAGUUUUUACUAGAUUUUAAUUUUUCAGCAAUUAAACCAUUUAUUUUUUUUAUUUUUUAUUGUUAUUUUUAUUUUUCGAAAUUAUUUCUAAAUAAUCCUCAAAGUUUUUUAUUUUUUAUUGUGUUGGAAGUUGAAAAAUACUGGGUAGUUAUCAGGUAAGAGGGUAAUUAGUGGUAAAAGGGUAAAUAAGGAGUUCACUGCCGGAAUCUCCUCAUUCACGAGAUUCCGGCCGCAAACCCUAUUCAAAUCCUCUCAAACCUUCAAAAAAAAUUUGUGUGAUUUGUGGAAAACUGCUUCAACCAUCACGUAGGUAAUAACUUCUAGAUCACAUAUAUGUAUUUUAUUACGAUUUUAACCGUGUAAUUUGUCCGGAAAUUGAAAAAACGACUCCGACGGAGCUUACGGCCGUAAGUUUGGGCCGUAAACUCCGUUUUGGCUUUCAAUCUUUGUUAUUUUGUUGCAAUUCGUCCAUUUAUAUGCAUCUGUUGGGGUAUUAUCUGUCAAUUCGACGUAAUGGUGUGAUUUUUGCAAUUAUUUCGAGAAUUUGUUCAUCGGCCGUAAACUCCUCUUAGACCGUGAACUGGGAGUUUACGGCCCAAGAACUGGGAGUUUACUGCCUUCAAAAAUUGUUUUCUAAAUACAUGUGUUAUUUUCGUGAAAUGUGUUUGUCGUGGUUUUUAGGCCGUAAACUUCGAGUUUACGGCCCAAGAACAAAAGAUAUCAAAUUUUUAAUUAAUUAAUUUGGUAACUGGUUUUUGACAGUAAACUCAAUUUUUUUUUUAAAAAAAAAUAUCUUUUAAGAAAAUUUUGUUUAGAUCAUAUUUUUAACUAAACUUUUUUUUUCGGGUCAAAAUAAAAUUUUAUUUUUAAGAAAUCAUUUCUCUUACAGUUUGUGGUUGAGUGCAAACAAUGGAAAAUUUGAAGUUUGCAGACAUGCACAAUCUCGCCAUCAUACUUGCAGAUCCUCCGACAAUUCACUCAGACAUGCGCUCAAUGAUUCAUCGAUUGCGGGAAUGCUGUUUAGUGACAGCUAUCACUGUCAACUCGGUUGUGUAUCAGAACCUGAUUAGAGAAUUUUGGGCGACCGUGAGAACAAACAUGGAUGACAAUGGCAACUUCACGGUGAAAGCUAGGGUCCAAGGACGUGAGAUUGUGAUCAAUGAAGGUUUUAUUCGAGAGGCUCUGCUUAUUGAUGAUCAACCAAAUUUCCCGACUGAAAUUGGAAUUGAAGAUGCUCAACGAAUUCUUUGAAGAAUGAGCUACAAAGGAACAUCUCCAUCAACUCUGAAAAAGUUAUUUAUCACCCGUAUUGGAGGUUCCUGGCGCACGUGUUUGUAAGUUGCGUCUUGGGUAGGAGGUCGGGAGCAGAUGAGAUUUCUCAAUGCACAACUGGUGCCCUCGUCUCUCUCGCUGCUGGAGGGAGGUUCAAUUUUUCCAAGUUCAUCUUGGACGACUUCGUCAUUAACAUUAGAGCCUCCACCCGAGACACCUUCCUCUUAUAUCCUCGUUUUGUUCAGCUGUUUAUCAACAUUCAGUUUCUAGAUGUGAGAAAGGAAGGAGAGACUCUCGAUAUGAAGUCUUUGGGUCCACACACCGUGGAACUCAUUAAACAAAAUCACAGAGGCAAAGUUGUAUUUCAGGGGUUAUAUCCACUAGAAAAAUUUGGAAAGUUCACAGAGCUAAAUGAACCCAUAGAGUCCUAUGAUUCUUCUGAACGGACCUCUUCUGAACCAGCUUCUGCUGAAAGGUCAACUCCUAACAAUCCGAUUAUUAAUGUUUCCGAGGAUGAGAGUUCUGAGGAAGAAGUACACCAACUCCUGACGCUCAAAUAGUUUCAGAACAUGAACAGGAGUUAGGUCAUAUUCAAGAUAAUGCGGAAAUGAACGUUGAGAUGGGAGGGAAUAUUGGGGAAGACAGAAAUGACUCUUUCGAUGAUCUUGACCUCAUGGGGUUCGAUAAUGAUGAUAUUGCUGCUUCAUUAUCUAUCAGUGCAAAUGUGGUGUCACAUCAGAACCUUGAUGCUAUUUUCUACAAUGUCGAUGACGUUGUUUUCCCAACAACUGAGACAAGGAAGUCUAGUGAGACUAUUGAAACUGAAACUCCAACAUCCGGGAAAAUGGUGUCUGCUUCAAUUCCUAUGGAGACAGUUAUAGGAUGUUCCCCUUCUAUAUCUGCUUCUCCUACUACUGAACCGUUUGCAAGUGUUUUUACUCCACAGUCUAACCAGCCCCCGUCGAAAAGGCAAAGAAGCGAUUUGAGGCAGGGCAAAGUAAUUCCAAGACUUGUCAGCAGCCUCCAUGUACCACCAGUUAUUACUGCUACCACCAGACUCACAACAACAAAGAUGUUUCCAACAGGUCCAAGCUCGGUGUUUACUGUCGGUGAUUCCUCUGCACCUCCUGGUUUCUCAAUUCCAAGAUAUACUCGUGAUGAUGCAUCUGAAAGGUUGGCUUUGCACAUGGCCGAAGAACAACUUCUAACGCCAGAUCCUCGAGGAAAGGGUAUUUCUAUUAAAGAAGGUGGUUCUAGGGGUGACAAUCUAACUCUUUCUGGUUUGCAAAAGGAAAUUUCGGUUCUAAGCCAGAAGAAUAUUGAGUUAGAUAUUCAAGUGACGGAACUUCGUGCUGAGAAUGCUAAGCUUAAUAUUCAAGUCUCCAAGUUGCAAUCUGAUAAGUCUAGUCUUGGGGUAGAAGUGGCUGAGCUUAAAAAGGAUAAAAAGUUGAAGUCUAAGCAGAUCUCUGACUUACAAGAUUACUUCAAUCUACUAACUUCAAGUUAUUUUGAACUGAAAAAGAAACUCGAGGAAGACUUUGGAGACAAGUAUCAAACAUCUGUUAAAGAACAACGGAUCAAUCUUCAUGUAAAAGCUUUCCCAGUUGAUUUACCUGUCAGUCAAUCAUCUGGUACUGCUAGUCAUGGUGAGGAUGCAUCUCGUCUGGCUCCACAUAUAGUAGAAACCAUUCGUCGUGAUCAAGAUGAAGAAGCAACGAAAGGGCAAUUGUUGUUCAAGAGGAACUUUAACCUAAAUGCUUCUUGGGACGAACCGUUAAUCACAAUGACUGAUCUUGAAGUGGUUCGGUUCCGAGAUUCUUUUGGAGAGCGAUUGGGAGUGGCUCCGUUGGGGUUCCAUGAUCCCCUUAAGAUGUGGAUUGUGAUUCGAAAAAGUGGUAAUUCUGAGUUGUACAAGAAUAGCCAUGAUUCUAGCUCAUUCACGAGGAUUGAUUUGACAGAGCUGUCUCGAGCUCCCUUCAUCAAUCUAAUGAAUAAUCCACAAGUCACUCAAUUCAAGAACUUCCUUGAUGAUCAAGUCAAAAAAGGGUUUCCGUCCAUGCCAACUCCAGAACCUAUGAUUUUUGAACAUCCAGAUGUUAUUGAUCACUCUACCGACAAACCCUUGCAAGUGGUAAUGUGGACAGCGACGAAACAGGUUAAAAAGUUUCUUAUGCUUCAAGUUUAUCAGGAUGGAUCUCUUGGUUCGUUAGAGUGUUGGGUCUUUGAUGAGAUCACCUAUGGUGCAGUUCUGAAGCUCAAAAAUGGAUGCAUCAGACUUUAUGAUCGAAGAGAUUUGUUGCAGUUCCAGAAGUGGGAUAUUCAUUAUCUCAGCAACUUUCAUAUCAAGGUUGUUGAAGAUAUCUAGAAGACUGUGCGAAAGUGUAUACGACAAUGGUUGCAGAAAUUUUGAGCAAACGCAUGUGGAACGGAGCUAUGGGGCAAAUGGAUGUUAUGAUCGUCAACAAAGGAUGACCUUGGACUAGUCCAAACCAAGGGGGAGAUUAAAAGGCUUAGAAUAAUGGUUUGGUCUAGGUGUUGCAGUUAGUGAUAGGGGUACGUUUGUAAUUAGCUUUUUGUCAGUUUACGGUUGUAACUGAGUUUACGGCCGUAAACACCUUACGGCCGUAAACUCCUCACGGUCUUGGGUGUCUAUAUAUAUAGGGUUGUGUUAGACGUAUUGUUGGUUGAUGCCUUUAGUAUUUUGCGGUUCCACCAAGUUGUAUCAGAUGUUUACGGUUAUAAAACGUAUGCAAGCUUGGUUUGUUACUUCUUUGUUUAUCAUUUCGCUUUGUGUGAUUGUUAUGUGCUUUUGAUCACUAGAAAGAUCCGAUUUUGGACCUUACACUUGGAAAGCCUCUGUAUGGGUUAAGAGCUAGUGGUACUCGGCGAGUCACAUGGGUGUACUCGGCAAGUUGCAUAAAGAUAGGCAGCAACUCGAUGAGUUAGAAGAACAACUCGGCGAGUUGGUUGAAGAUAGCCUUAGACUCGGCGAGUCUGGUCCUGAGGUCCUAACCUUUCCUGGUUGAGCAGUGAAUCGGUGAGUCAAGGGAUAACUCAGUGAGUUGAGUGCGAUUAGACUCAGAGUUGUGGGACUCGGCGAGUAUUGGGGCGACUCGGGGAUUUGAGUCGUGUUAUGGGAGUUUCUGAGCAUAGGGACUUGACAAGUCGGCGGGGUGACUCGGCGAGUAGAGAUAGUCUUGUGUUGACCAGUUGACUUCCCGGGGUAAUUUGGUAAUUAUUGGUAUUUAUUGAGUUUAGUCUUUUGGUAUUAUCAGUGGUGGAGUUUGUGUCGGAGGUUGGAGCAGCGUGAUCUUAUCUUUUCGGUCAGCAGUUGCGAGGUGAGUUAUCCUCACUAUAUCGACAGGGUCUAAGGCACCAAGGCCGACCCUUUAUUGGAUUGUAAUCCGGGUAUCGUUGUUAUGUUAUUGCUUUGCUAUGUUUGCAUCCUGGUAGUUAGGAUGGUAUAUGCUAGUGACUGGUUAGGUCGGUAUCCUGGUUAGGAUGAUGUUAUGUUAUGUGAUUUGCUAGAUCAGUUGAUUGGUGAUUAAUUGUUAUAUGAUUAUAUGUUUAUGUGCACAUGGUUGGUUGACUGGGGUUGGGUUGAGGCGGGUCCUGCUUUGUGUUGUAGGCCAACAUACCCAGGGCGGAUCGGAUAUUCCGAAGGCCCAGCGAGCAGUCCGGAUAGGUUGUAGGCCCCACAAGGGCGGACCAGACGUGCCGAGGCUUGGAGAGUGUGGACCAGGAUGACUGAAGGCCCAGUGCGGGCGGACCAGUCAUACUGUAGACUCAGAGAGGGGACCAGGUGGGUUGAAGGCCCGGUGCGGCCGGACCAACCACACUGCAGACUCGAUGNGGCUAGAAUCGGAGGGUGGACCAGGUGGACUGAAGGCCGGUGCGGCGGACCAGUCACAUAGUAGACCCGAAGUGCAUGGUUGUUCUGUUCUCUUAUGAUAUGUUAUGUGUAUGGUAUAUGUGGUUGGUAUUUUGGGGGUGUCUCACUAAGUUUUCGGGCUUACAGUUGUGGUUUAAAUGUUUCAGGUACUUAAGGAGACUGUGGCAAGGGAAAGGCGUGAUCGUACCGCUCCUCAUGUUCUUGUUUCAUGAUAUGGUUCUGGGAAUACUCUGAUAAUAAUUUUAUUGAAUACCUUUUUUCAAUGAAUUGAUGAAUAUGGGUUGUUUUAGAAAAAUAUAAAUUGGCUUGAAUUUUUUUGGAUGUUACAAGUUGGUAUCGGAGCCUUGGUUUGAGUGAAUUGGAGGAACAUUCAUGUGAAUCCAGUCUCAAAUCAAGGAGAGUUUUCAAAAGAGAAUUUAAAAUGGUUUUUAAAAAUGACUAAAGGAGGACGCGGAGUUACGAUCAGUCGGAGCCAGUAAGUAGCCCCAAAAUACCAUACAAGUUAUUUGUUUAUGUGAUAUGAUAGAACAACAUGCUACUACUAGGCUAGGGAUCUUCAGGAAUUGCAUGAUAGAGUUGCCUAAUUUAUGAUGCCUGCUAGCCUAGGGUUUCUUUCUGUAUGAGAUUUCCAGUGUUCCUCUAGGAGUGAGGGUCGAGUGCUUGUUAUGCAUGUUCUUCACUAGGGUGUUGUGGUGAUACUUGAUAUAAAUAUGGGUAGGUGUGGAAGGUAGUAUGGGCCCGUAUUACUGAAAGCACAGGACCCAUACGUGUAUCAAGGAAAUCACAACCCCUAGGGCUGGGUUGAGAGUCGGUUUCCAGGUUAGUGGGAGGUAUCUGAUGUUUACGGUGUUUUUCAGUAUGGUGUUUACGAGGGAUGCUGGGAGUGGAUCUGGGUCAGGAUCGGGAGCAGGAGAGGGAAGUCAGGGUGGGUUAGCACCACCCGAGGUUAUCGGUCAAAUGAGCACUGACGAGUUGGAUACUAGGAUUCGUGAGAUCCUACAUGACGAGGUUGCUGCUAUGUUCCGGGCCGAGUUGCUGGAACUGUUUGGGACGAUCAAGAACACCAUGGUCGAGUAUUUUGAUGAGCACUAUGUAGCUCUUUCAGAGAUGGCUGCCGCGGCAGCUACAGCGGCUGUAGCAGCGGCAGGGGGAGGAGUCGGUAGAGGAUUUCAGUAUCGGGACUUCGAUAAUACGAAGCCCCCUACCUUCGAUGGAACUCAGGACCCGAUUGUUGCUAUGAGAUGGUUGUCAGACGUGGAGGGGUGUUUCUUCACGUGUUCAUGCCCUGCUGAUCAGAGGGGGAGGUGUGCUCUGAACCUUUUGAGGCUCGGGGUGAAGGAUUGGUGGAGGUUGACCACAGGAUCGUAUUCUGAUGCGCAGCGAGCUGCGGUUUCUUGGGAUCAGUUCAGAGAGAUGUUCAGUACUCGCUAUGUUCCGCAAGUUGAGAGGGAGAGAUUAGCUCAGGAGUUCCUGGAGCCGAGGCAGGAUUCCGAGUCGGUGACGGAGAUCACCAGGAUGUUCACUGAGAGGGCGAUGUUUUGCCCAGAGUUUGCUUCGGAGCAGGCUCAGACGUCCCGAUAUCUGAGUAUGCUUAAGAGGGAUAUCAGGCAGUUUGUGUCUACGCAGAGGUGCGAGACCUUAAUAGAGUUGCAGGAGGCCGCUCGGCGGCGUAAGUUGGAGAUUAAGUUGCAGUUGUGAGAGCAGAGGCAGGCCCUGGUGCAGUCGCAGCCGGCGCCGAAACGGUCCAAGACCGUUGAUUCUAGGUUGGGAGAUCAGAGCAGCCGCACUUGUGGGAAGUGCGGGAAGGGUCACACCGGAGUUUUUAGGUCCGGUGGUGCGUGCCGCAAGUGCGGGAGAGAGGGACACUAUGCGAGGGAUUGCCAUCAGUGAGCCCCAGUUCAGGAUAUGGGGAUUUGUUAUCAGUGCCAACAGGUUGGUCACAUGAGGGCCAACUAUCCACAGCUUGCUGCAGGACCGGUGCAGGCUCCCGCAUCGGCCACUUUGAGGAUUACGGGAGGAGGUCAGGGUGGAGCAGAGCCCCCGAGGGCUCAGGGACGUGCUUUUCAGCUUAUAGCAGGGGAGGUCAGGGCAGAGCCAGAGGCAGCUGCGGGUAUGUUUUCAUUUUGUUAUCUUGUGGUUAUUGUGUAGUAUUGCAUAUGCUAGUCUUGUUUGCAUGAUUUAUAAUGUUGUAUUGUUCGCCUUUUCGUCUGGGUUAUCUUUUGGUAGAGGGUUUUAUAGGUAGGAGUUGUAGUUGGUUAGUAUCCAAGGGAUGGAUGGUCAGGAUUGGUUGUGUGGUCUUGUUGUUGGGUAUAGCAUUCACGAUGUGAGAAGUGUUCAGCUGGGAGUCAAACUCCCUUGGGAUUCGAGAUGUACAAUGUCGGGAGAGCAGUUUUGUGAAGGUUACUCGUUCAGAGGAAAGCAGUUUAUGGAUAAGGAAGGUAUGGGAUAGAGAUGAUUGUUCUAGGCUGGAUGAGUCACCGGUAUUUGGACGUCAGUAUUCUAAGUGGGGGAGAGUUGGAAGAUUCUCUAAAGGAUCGACAAGCGUUUGAGUUUGCUUAGCUAUGCGGGAUUCAGCAGUAUUCAGUUAGCCAAGAGUGUGCACUGGUAUGAGUAAGUGGCAGACUAAUGGGGGCAGGGAGCAGACCAUGGAAUCAGGAAAGAUAGUGUUUGAUGUUAGGCCUGGGUUUGGCCAUGGAAAGGAUUUCCGGGAUCGGAACGAGAGUUCGGAACCCCCUAAGGGGAUAGAACAGUAUGAAUGGGAAGGAUUCCCUGGAUGGGUAGUUGGAAUGAUGUAUGAUAGUUGAGCAGACCGGGAAGACUGAAGGCCGAAAGGCGUACCAGUCAGGUCGAAGGCUCGGGAGAACGGUCCAGACAGGUCGAAGGCCCAGAGAGGCGGUCCAGACAUGUUGAAGGUUCUGAGAACGGUCCAGACAGACUGAAGGCCCAGGAGGGCGGUCCAGAAAUGCUGAAAGUUCCGAAAGUGGUCCAGAUAGGCUGAAGGCCUGGAAUGGUGGUCCAGUCAUGCUGAAGACUCUGUACGUAUUAGUGGAUCGGUAUGAGGAGAAUGAGGAAAUGCGUCGCCGGGGAAUGAUGAUUGAUAUGGUCUGGCCCCGGGUGUUGAUCGUGUUGGUGGAAAGCAGUGCAUGGACCCGGGAGUCCUUGCGAGCAUAUUCAGAGUAUACAAAAGUGCAAGGAUAGCAGUUACUCUACAUGGAUAAUGUAGAGUGGAGUAUAGCUCAGUAGCACGUGUAGGUGCAGUAAGGGUUGUUAAGUAGAUUUCCUGAAAAGGAAAGGCAUGUAGCUUUGGAAGGAGCAUGGGCACUCCAAUAGAGGAGGAAGUGGAGAAAGUGGAUUAUCGGCAAUACCUCAGCUAUUGGUAGUAAGUACUGGGAUGGUACCAGGGGUAUGGAAACACAUCCAGACUGGGUGUCUGUUGAGGUUACGGAUGGAUUUCCGGUAAUGUAGAACUAGAGGAGUUAGUAAGGGAUGCAAGGAGGGAGCCUUGUAUUUUUGGUAUGGUUGUGAUCAGGAGGUUAUGUAUGUAGCAGUAAUUCAUCAUGGGGAUGUCUAGAGGUAUAGUCAGUGUGCCGGGUUUUCCAGCCCGAGGAUGUUGGAUCAGGUUCAGCAUGUGUACACGAUUGUGGAAGAGAGCUCAUGAGAGUGCUCGGGAGCUGAGGGAUGUAUCAUCAUGUCAGCAUGAAAAGAGUAGAGUCGAAUUCGGAAAGGAAGAGGGAUAAGUCCCAGCAGUGAACUCGAUAAGGUCGUGUUAAUCAAGGCAAAAGAUAGCAGUUGGUAGCAGUGAGUACCUGGUCAGAACUCAAUGGUUCAGGGUGUUAUCUAGUCUCGUGAGAGGCGCGUCUAUAUGGAGAUCAGGUGAGAUAAGUGUCGCUAUCAGAGGAAAGAGCCGGUGGUCGGUCUGAGACAGUUGAUAUGAAUCGGUAAGCAAGGAGUUGGAUCAUUUUAGGGAUGAUAGCAGUGAUUGGAGGGAUCUGAGUCAGUAGAGAUCCGAGGUUGUAGUGUGGGGUUAUGGUUAUUGGAAUUAUGUGAUGCAGCAGGCUUCGAGGACGAAGCCUAAUUUAAGUGGGGGAGAACUGUAACACCCUGAGUUCAGAAGAGCAAAGUUCAGGGUGCUUAGUGUAGAUAUGGAAGACCGACUCGNCAAUGGGUAGACUCGGCGAGCCGAGUCGUCGCGAAUCUGGUCAUGUGUUAAGUGACCAACUCGUCGAGUCGGAGGUUGGACUCAGCGAGUUGGUGCUGAAGAGAGAAAAAACCUAAUCUUUGGGGUUGCACCCUAUUUAAAGGACUUGAUGCCCUCCCCUCAGUCUCCUUAGCCUCUUUUGAAGUCCAGAAACCCUAAAUCCGUUUGUGAGUGCAUUGGAGAGCAUUUGGAACCUUGAUAAGUGCUUGGUGAAGAGAUCUUUGAAGAUUAAGAGGCUUGGAGCAAGGGGCUUUACANGGCUUAUUCUCUGUUGGAGUCUUCUCUUGAGGUAAUGAUUCGUUGCUUGAGCUGUUAUCCAUCUAGAUCAAUCAUUUGUGGGAUUUUUGGGAGUAUAGCAAUCUUGAGUUUGGAGGUUGGAUCUAAGGUUGCUACCUCAGAUCUAGAGUAGUGAUGAUCCAAAAGAGCAUAAAGUCUCUGUUCAAGAGUUGUUGAUGAAGCCUUUUUGUCCCAAACCCUAGCCCUAGAGUGUAUUAUGCUUAGAUCUCCUUGGAUUCACGUAAUGUUUGCCACUUUACAUGAUGGAUGGCUUGUAUAAGAGUAGAUCUAUGGAUUAGAGACCCUGCAUGGCUUGGAAAGCCUCUAUAUGGGUUAAGAGCUAGUGGUACUCGGCGAGUGACAUGGGUGUACUCGGCGAGUUGCAUGAAGAUAGGCAGCAACUUGACGAGUUGGAAGAACAACUUGGCGAGUUGGUUGAAGAUAGCCUUGGACUCGGCGAGUCUAUUCUUGGACUCGGCGAGUCUGGUCGUGAGGUCCUAACCUUUCCUGGUUGAGUUGUGAAUCGGUGAGUCAAGGAAUGACUCAGUGAGUUGAGUGCAAUUAGACUCAGAGUAGUGGGACUCGGCGAGUCUUGGGGAGACUCGGCGAGUUGAGUCGUGUUAUGGGAGUUUCAGAGCAUAGGGACUCGACGAGUCAGUGGGGUGACUCGGCGAGUAGAGAUAGUCUUGUGUUGACCAGUUGACUUCCCAGGAUAAUUUGGUAAUUAUUGGUAUUUAUUGAGUUUAGUCUUUUGGUAUUAUCAGUGGUGGAGUUCGUGUCGGAGGUUGGAGCAGCGUGAUCUUAUCU